GCCGGGCGCAGUGGCUCACGCCUGUAAUCCCAGCACUUUAGGAGGCCGAGGCAGGUGGAUCACUUGAGGUCAGGAGUUUUGAGACCAGCCUGGCCAAUAUGGUGAAACCCUGUCUCUA
RNAcentral lists this non-coding RNA (118 nucleotides) under Chlorocebus sabaeus (green monkey). Lineage: Eukaryota; Metazoa; Chordata; Mammalia; Primates; Cercopithecidae. The record is from Rfam by way of RNAcentral.